UAAGAUUUGUGUUGCCUUGAAGAUGUAU
RNAcentral lists this small RNA (28 nucleotides) under Bombyx mori (domestic silkworm). RNAcentral describes it as "ovarian small RNA-19232". Lineage: Eukaryota; Metazoa; Arthropoda; Insecta; Lepidoptera; Bombycidae. The record is from RNAcentral.